This 1097-nucleotide ribosomal RNA is filed under the name uncultured marine group I thaumarchaeote. RNAcentral describes it as "bacterial SSU rRNA". It matches the Rfam family "Archaeal small subunit ribosomal RNA", at positions 312 to 1410 of the family's 1478-position model. Lineage: Archaea; Thermoproteati; Nitrososphaerota. The record is from RNAcentral.
GGACCCAGGCCCUAUGGGGCGCAGCAGGCGAGAAAACUUUGCAAUGUGCGAAAGCACGACAAGGUUAGUCCGAGUGAUUUCUGCUAAAGAAAUCUUUUGCAAGUCGUAAAACCACUAGUGAAUAAGGGGUGGGCAAGUUCUGGUGUCAGCCGCCGCGGUAAAACCAGCACCUCAAGUGGUCAGGAGGANUAUUGGGCCUAAAGCAUCCGUAGCCGGCUCUGUUAGUUUUCGGUUAAAUCCAUGCGCUCAACGUAUGGGCUGCCGAGAAUACUGCAUAGCUAGGGAGUGGGAGAGGUAGACGGUACUCGGUAGGAAGGGGUAAAAUCCUUUGAUCUAUCGAUGACCACCUGUGGCGAAGGCGGUCUACCAGAACACGUUCGACGGUGAGGGAUGAAAGCUGGGGGAGCAAACCGGAUUAGAUACCCGGGUAGUCCCAGCUGUAAACGAUGCAGACUCGAUGAUGCAUUGGCAUAUAGCCAGUGCAGUGUCGCAGGGAAGCCGUUAAGUCUGCCGCCUGGGAAGUACGUACGCAAGUAUGAAACUUAAAGGAAUUGGCGGGGGAGCACCACAAGGGGUGAAGCCUGCGGUUCAAUUGGAGUCAACGCCAGAAAUCUUACCCGGAGAGACAGCAGAAUGAAGGUCAAGCUGAAGACUUUACCAGACAAGCUGAGAGGUGGUGCAUGGCCGUCGCCAGCUCGUGCCGUGAGAUGUCCUGUUAAGUCAGGUAACGAGCGAGAUCCCUGCCAUUAGUUGCUAUCAUUAUUCUCAGGAAUAGUGGAGCGAACUAGUGGGACUGCCGUUGUUAAAACGGAGGAAGGAAGGGGCUACGGCAGGUCAGUAUGCCCCGAAACUCUGGGGCCACACGCGGGCUGCAAUGGUAGUGACAAUGAGUUCCAAACUCGAAAGAGAGUGGCAAUCUCCAAACACUACCACAGUUAUGACUGAGGGCUGUAACUCGCCCUCACGAAUAUGGAAUCCCUAGUAACCGCGCGUCAUUACCACGCGGUGAAUACGUCCCUGCUCCUUGCACACACCGCCCGUCGUUUCAUCGAAGUUUGCUUUUAGCGAGGUGAUGUUUAAUUGGCAUUAUCGAACUU